Non-coding RNA from Cheilinus undulatus (humphead wrasse), 678 nucleotides. NCBI's taxonomy places the organism in Eukaryota, Metazoa, Chordata, Actinopteri, Labriformes, Labridae. The record is from the annotation of a RefSeq genome assembly.
CCUCUCAGUGUGAUGAUGGUCUCUGUGCUGAUGUGCAUGAGAGGCUUCUUAAAGGGAAGUGAAACAAUGUGUGAUGCACGUCCCACCCUGACGGUGCUGCCCCCCUCCCGUGAGGAGCUGCAGCAGGGUACCACGGCCACGCUCAUGUGCCUGGCCAACAAGGGCUUCCCCUCAGGCUGGAGUCUGGCCUGGAAGGUGGACGGCAGCAGCAGCAUCAGCUGCGGGGAGGAGAGCAGGAGCCCUGCGGUGCUAGACAAGGACGCUCUCUACAGCUGGAGCAGCACCCUGAGGAUCACUGCAGACCAGUGGAGGAAGCUGGGCUCUGUGACCUGUGAGGCCACCCAGGGCUGCCAGGCUCCAGUCACAGAGACUCUGAUGAAAGACAAGUGUUCCCAGUUCUGAUCUGACUCCCUGGGACUCUGCUGCUGGUUUUACUCUCAUGGUGAUUUUUCUUCUCAGUCUGUGAACAAAAAUGUCUUUCUGUCUCUUUCUUUGAUUUAAUGAUUCAUCACAAGCUUUUCUUCCCUCUUGUAUGUUUGAUGUUUAAAAUGGCAAAAAUAAUAAAAUUUGAAUUCCAUGUUUUUGUCCUUUAAUUUAGGUCAUAUUGGCGUCAUUUGAACAUUUUUCAGUGAACAUUGAAGGAACUCAGUUUAAUAAAGUCAGAACUUUGUUCUACAA